ACGGGAGGCAGCAGUAAGGGAUAUUGCACAAUGGGGGAAACCCUGAUGCAGCAACGCCGCGUGAGGGAAGAAGGUUCUCGGAUUGUAAACCUCUGUUUUUAGUGAAGAAACAAAUGACGGUAGCUAAAGAGGAAGCCACGGCUAACUACGUGCCAGCAGCCGCGAUAAUACGUAGGUGGCAAGCGUUGUCCGGAUUUACUGGGUGUAAAGGGUGCGCAGGCGGGACUGCAAGUUGGAUGUGAAAUACCGGAACUCAACUCCGGAGCUGCAUCCAAAACUGUAGUUCUUGAGUGAAGUAGAGGUAGGCGGAAUUCCGAGUGUAGCGGUAAAAUGCGUAGAUAUUCGGAGGAACACCAGUGGCGAAGGCGGCCUACUGGGCUUUAACUGACGCUGAGGCACGAAAGCAUGGGGAGCAAACAGGAUUAGAUACCCUGGUA
This 437-nucleotide ribosomal RNA is filed under the name uncultured Clostridiales Family IV bacterium. RNAcentral's name for it is "bacterial SSU rRNA". It matches the Rfam family "Bacterial small subunit ribosomal RNA", at positions 341 to 792 of the family's 1533-position model. Lineage: Bacteria; Bacillati; Bacillota; Clostridia; Eubacteriales; Eubacteriales Family IV. Incertae Sedis. The record is from RNAcentral.